GCACGAUCUUGGCUCACUGCAACCUCUGCCUCCCAAGUUCAAGCGAUUCUCCUGUAUCCUCAGCCUCCCGAGUAGCUGGGACCACAGGCGCGCGUCACUACACCUGGCUAAUUUUUGUAUUUUUAGUAGAGAUGGGGUUUCACCAUAUUGACCAGGCUGGUCUCAAACUCCUGACCUCGUGAUCCACGCUCCUUGGCCUCCCAAAGUGUUGGGAUUACAGGCGUGAGCCACUGCGCCUGGCCAACAGUGUUUUUGCUAUGCCUUUUCUAUGUUUAGAUACACAAAUACUUCCCAUUGUGUUACACUUGCCUACAGUAUUCCGUGCAGUCACAUGCUGUCUAGGUUUGUAGCCUGGGCAAGAGGCUAAACCACAUAGCCUAGGGGUGUAGGAGGCCACACCAUCCAGGUCUGUGUAAGCACGCGCUCUGAUGUUCACACAAUGACAAAAUCAUCUGACGAUGCAUUUCUCAGAACAUAUUCCCAUCAUUAAGUGACGCAUGACUGCAGAAAACUGGGGGAAGAAACCUGAAAACUCGUCAGCCUGCAGCACAGUGAGAUAAAGAAAUGGAAACACAUAUGAGAAAUUAAGAGACAGAGAGAACAAGAUGAGGUGCUUAAAUAGGCACCUCAUAGAAGUUCUAGAAAGAGAACAGUGAGACUCUGGAAUAGUCAAUAUUUGUAGAGGUAAUGCCUGAAGUUUUUCCAGAAUUGAAGGACAUACAUGGUGUGGUUUUAAAAUAUCCUCAAGUCCUAGACAGGAUAACUAGAAACCAAUUCCUGUGAAGACAGCGUAACAAACUGCAAAACACAAGGAUAAGGAGAAAAAUGUGAAAGCUACCCGGGAAGACAGGAUAACUAGAAACCAAUUCCUGUGAAGACAGCAUAACAAACUGCAAAACACAAGGAUAAGGAGAAAAAUGUGAAAGCUACCCGGGAUUAAAAAUCACCAAAAACAACAGAUACAAGAUGAAGGGUAUACAGUGAGAUGGUGGUACCCACCUCAUCAGUAAGGCCGAAUGUCGGCGUGCAGGGAAAUUAUAUCCACAAUCCUUACAUUGUUCUGAUCCAAGGACAGACAGACUUCACAGAGCAGGAGAGAUAACCUGGAAAGAGAGAAACGAAGUGAAUAUUCGACAAAAAAUGGAUCACAAACCAGGACGACUUGGAGGAUUAGACAGGAAAAUGGACGGAGGCCACCAGAGCACUUCUCUGAUGGCAGAAAACACGAGUUUCCUGUGUCCUGGGCCAACCAGCCACAACCAGAGAUGAAAGAGACCAGAGAACGUCCCACAGCCUCCUGGGCCAGAGAGGACCGGGCAAGUAGACCUCAGCAUUUAUUUAUGGAGCUAAUUUUGUGUGUAUUGCUCCUAUUUCCGUCUGUAGAUAAAAAGCAGAGAUAAUCAGCUUGGCUCAGAACAUGGAUACUCUGGGAGCCCCACCCGCGGACCACUUUAAAGCAGAAGGAUCCCACAGGGAACGGUUCUGAAUUGGGGCCGAGGAAUUCCACUCCACCACAAGCUACACAAACCCCCUCUUCCCGCUGUGUCUUCCUCCAGCCGAUUUGUGGAGGGGAUAUUUAUAGGAUUUCCACCAUUUAUGGAAGGCAUUUUUGAAAGGAAAAAUCAGGCGGGGGCUUUUUCCUAGUAAAAGCUUAUGGUCGUCAUCAUUUGCUCUCAUUAGCCCCAAAUCCUCUUCGCUGCAGUGUCAAAGCCCUCCUCCAUUCUUUGCUUCACCACAUUUUUAUUCACUAACUCCUUCCCUAAGUUCCGCCGUCCCAGAGGCAAUUUGUAAUUAAUAAUGAAAACCCCACCUCCCAAGCUGUACUGGAGAGGGGAGCAUCUCACUAGCACGCAUCUCUCCAGCAAAUAGUGUUUCUUGGGCAGUGUUCUUAAGACUUCAUCAAGUGUAUCCCUACACAGAACAGACAGGCUGCCAGGUCACAUCUGGGGACAAUUGGGGGUUUGGAAAUGUAUCAUAUUUUUUCUCAUGAAGUUUUCUCACCUGUCUUUGGAGCUGCCAUCAUUAACAUUAGGGCAAAAAUUAAAAUAAAAAAUAAUACAUGGUAAAACCAGUGGAGUAGUAGCUGAUAAAACAAGCACAGUAACUAAAAAGAAAGUAAUUUUGAGCUGAUUGAAGAGAGAAUAGUUUAUUCCCCCUCCCAGAAAUAACUGCUACCUCUUCAAACCUGACAUUAAAAUACCAGAGAGAAACAGAUUACCUACUAUGUUUUGAAAUUUAAAGUUAACUUUAUUAUUUUAAGAAUUUUAGAACAGUGUUUUUUCUUCUCAUAACAAUCAGAUAUCAGCUUCCUCUAAAAGUUUUUGAAAGUCUCCUCACACUAAUUGUACUGCCUUUUUCAAUUAAAAAUACUUCAAGGAAUGUGAAAUGAUUAGUCAAUUCAAACAUUCUCUAUUCAGUGCUACGAUGAAGGCUUUAAGUAUUGACGAAAACAUGCCCCAUGUAGGACAACCAAAUCAUCUUUCAGGCGUUGGAUCAGGACCAAUAACUUGAGAAAUAAAUAUGUUGAUUCUUCCACAAAUCUUAAAGUCUGAUCUGUGUUAUCUUUGUUGCAAUUAUAAAAAUAAAAUAAAAAGUGCUUCAAAUAUAUACUAGCCUUGCUAUUUGAAACAGACGAGAAAAAACAGGGCUUCAAAUAUAUGGUAUUCUUGCUAUUUGAAACGGAAAUCUGAAAGAAUGAAGAAGGA
Molecule: long non-coding RNA, 2705 nt
Filed under: Homo sapiens (human)
Lineage: Eukaryota; Metazoa; Chordata; Mammalia; Primates; Hominidae
Description: HSALNT0049575
Source: RNAcentral